RNAcentral lists this transfer RNA (72 nucleotides) under Camelus bactrianus (Bactrian camel). It matches the Rfam family "tRNA". From Rfam's summary of the family: Transfer RNA (tRNA) molecules are approximately 80 nucleotides in length. Their secondary structure includes four short double-helical elements and three loops (D, anti-codon, and T loops). Lineage: Eukaryota; Metazoa; Chordata; Mammalia; Artiodactyla; Camelidae. RNAcentral also lists the same sequence under 2 other names. The record is from Rfam by way of RNAcentral.
GAGGGUACAGCUCAGUGGUAGAGCGCAUGCUUAGCAUGCACAAGGGCCUGGGGUCAAUCCCCAGUGCCUCCA